Molecule: long non-coding RNA, 288 nt
Filed under: Apteryx owenii (little spotted kiwi)
Lineage: Eukaryota; Metazoa; Chordata; Aves; Apterygiformes; Apterygidae
Description: lncRNA (ENSAOWG00000004571.1)
Source: RNAcentral
UGAAACAUUGCUGAGCCCAAAAUAUAAAAGAUUCUGCCAGUGCAUGAAAGUGAAACUGGCUGAGAGCAAAAGUGAAACCAACAGGCGACUUUCACUCCCCAGGCUGAGGGAAAUGCAGAAAAGUAAAUCCUAAACAGGGCAUGUGGCCCAGCCCCUGUUUUGGACAGAAAGAUGGCUGUCCAAGGAACAUGAACAUCAGUUCUCAGUUUAGUCACCUUACAUGUACUGGAGCAACAUAGCUAAGCUGACUUACACUUGCAUCACUACCCUGAACCUAAUUGCGUCUGC